RNAcentral lists this long non-coding RNA (13420 nucleotides) under Solanum tuberosum (potato). Its description in RNAcentral is "long non-coding RNA (STUB_LNC002063)". The record is from RNAcentral. Lineage: Eukaryota; Viridiplantae; Streptophyta; Magnoliopsida; Solanales; Solanaceae.
GUAAUUGAGAUCAGCUGAUGGAUUUGAGCAGUUGUCGUAAUUGGCUGAUGAUCUUGCAAAUGUUUUGAACUGCUCUUCGGUGAAAUUCAUAGAGCAUAUAAGAUUUAUAUAAUCUUGUGGAGUAGCAUCAUAUACUAGGCCGGGAUCAAGAGCUUUGUUCGGGUCAACAUGCCCUGCUCCCAUGUCUAGGGGCGUGGCUACAAAGUUAUCAUCCUCUCUAAUAGGCUUUUGAGCACUAUUCAAAUGGUUUGCAGUAGUCAUCAUGGCAGAGCGAAUAGCUGAAGGACUCCAUUCAGGAUGUGCGCCUUUUAGCAUUGCUGCAAUUCCAGCCGCAUGAGGAGCAGCCAUUGAUGUGCCUGAUUUAACCUCGUAAUCAGUGGCUAAUGCUAUGUUCUGAAUACUUUGUGAAAAUAGAUUGGGUGGAACCGCUGCAAGAAUCAGUACCCCUGGUGCCAUAAUAUCUGGCUUUGCAAUUCCCAAGUAGCUUCUGGAGGGCCCUCGUGAUGAGGAUCCAGCAAGAAUUGGGGCUGGCCUUUCUCCAUCCACAUACGUUUCUUGGAAUGUUAUGGUGGCCGUGGGAGCAACACUGUUUUUAACGUAAUUGAUGACUUUUUUCCCUUCCUUUUUGUCAAUCACAACUCCCGGGUGGGAAAAAGAAGCAUCUCUGAACACUCCUGGAUCCUCAGAAAUAAAGAUGCCUGCUUUAAAUCUUGCUUCUUCGACGUGAGAAAUUUGACUACUGAAACCAAAACCAUCUUCAUCCGCAUUAUAAUCACAGAUGAUAAUGGUGCUUUCGGGAUCAGGAACUUGCGAUAGCAACUCAUCUGACCUGCAAGUGGCUAGAGUCUUGUUGUAAAUCACCAGAGAAUCCCUGACAAAGGCUCUUGCAGGAAACAAGCUCCACCCCCUAAUUUUUAAUCCAUUGCCCAAAGUCAAAGUUCCUGCAAAUGUCCGGUCGGUGUAGCCUGAUGCCACGCACAAUAUCCAUGGAGAUCCAUUGCCUAAACUCCCCCAACUUGGACCUCGAUUUCCAGCUGAAGCCGAAACCAAUACCCCCUUCAUCAUAGCUCCAAAAGAAGCAAUUGAUAUAGCAUCUUCAUACAAGGGAAUGAACCGGAAUCCAAAUGAAAUGGAUAUCACAUCAACGCCAUCCGCAACAGCUUGGUCCAUAGCAGCAACUAAAUCUGAUGUAAAAGUUCCUUCAUCAAAGCUGAACUUAUACACAGCUAGCCUAGCUCGUGGAGCAGCCCCUCUUGCCGUUCCUGCUGCAUAUCCAAAAUGGGAAACACCUUUCGCAAAGUUCCCAGCAGCAAUGGAAGCGCAAUGUGAGCCAUGACCAUCAGUAUCCCUGGCAGAGUUCAUGGAAAUGUUGACAUUGGGAUCAUUAGCCAAAAUUCCUUUAUUGAAGUAAUUAGCCCCAAUGAGUUUCUUGUUGCACAUAGAAGUGUUAAACUCUGUUCCAGGCUUGCAAAUUCCUUUCCACCUUUUGGGGAUUUCAGGAAUACCAUCAUCUCGGAAACUUGCAGAUUCCGGCCAGAUUCCACCGUCAAGAACACCAAUGAUCACAUCUUGGCCUAAACCAGAAGCUGGCCAUAGCCCAGAUGACGGAUUGAGCUUGAGGAAAUCAGAUGUGUAGGUAGUGUGAGGUUCCACAGUUCUAUCUUUAUAUGCUGAAACAAAACCUGGUAACUUUUUCAAAGCUUUCAGUUCAUCUUUGGACAAAACAGCACUGAAGCCAUGAAACACAUUGUCAUAGGAGUAAACAAGUUUUGGAGCAGAAUGGAACCUGUCUACUGAUGAAGGAACAGAAGCUUUGAUGGAAUCAAUAGUGGAAGAAUGCCAAUGAUGGUGAUCUGGAAAGACAUUAGGCAUUAAAGAUUUGUCCAAAUGGACAAUAUAAGUGGAUCUUUGUGCUAUAGCUAAGUAACAGAACAAAUGAACAGAAAUAAACCAUGAAAGGAAGAGAAGAUGAAGAGAAUAAGGAAACCCCAUUGUAGAUCUCUGUGUUGACUGAACACUGCAGAUUCAAGUGACUUUACAAGAUAAUAGAAGCAGCAUUUGGUUGUUGCAAUAAUAAAGAUAAGUUAAGAAAAGUGAAGAAUGAAAUGUGUUAAAAAGGGUAGUAAAGUAAUAAAGAUAGGCGGCUGUUGUAAGUGAAAUGAACCUAUUAAGUACUGUUUCUAGAAAGGAACCUAUAUGUCAAUUUUCAAACACGACCCCACUUGUUAUCCCAUUGAAAUCAGUGACAUUUUCAAUGCUAUAUUAAUCAUUUCUUGUUUUAUUUAGUAUUAUUUGAAUAAAUUUGUGAGGCAAGAUAUGACAGAAUCUUGUAUACUAAAUCAAAUAUAGUCUCUUUGGAAGAAAAAGAGAAGUCAAUAAUGAAGGCAGUUGCUUUCACUCUUUCUCCAUGUUACUGUAUAAGAUCUAUUUUUGCUUCUGGAUAAUAUAAAGAAUCAAGUGAUUGAGGUUUGCUCUUUUAUUUUUUCUACAUAAUCUUUUUUGUUCUAAAUUUCCUGAUAUUCUGUUCCCCAUUUGGGAAAAUAUGGUGGGGGAUACAUUUAUAAUUGUUACACGGGGUAGAGCUAGAAUACGGUUAAGUAACUAUGUUCUAAAUUUUAUAUUUGUAUUAAGAAAUUUAUUGAAUAUAUACUAAAUAUUAAUUUAGAACUUAAUAAUAUAUAUGAAUAGAAACUCCAACCUAUAAACAUCAAAUUCAUGCUCUGAAUAUUCGACAUGAUUUUCCCUUCAAAUGAGGUGAUCUUUAAUUUACCCUUCGCAUGGGUGAUUUUCAAUUUUUCCUCUUAGAAAUUGAAUUUAUGUCAAGUGGGGCAUAAGUCCUCUAAAGGCACGAAGUAUGACUUAUGAAAUAUUAUGAUACGAAAUUAAAGACUAGCACAAAAUGGGGCAAAAGUGGGACGGAAGGAGUACUGUUAUUUGUUUCUUUAAGAUAGUACAGACAAUUCAUACAACAUAUACAUUUACCAUUUUGCUUUCCCUUAGUUCUUGUGUUUUGGUACUUCCAGUUCAAGCAUAUGAUGGUCAUAAAGUGGCACGACUUAUUACCAGAGAUCAAUUAUGGGAGAUAUCACUAUAGGGCUCCUAACAGUAUGAUUUCCGUGCUCUUCAACCCAAGUGAUCGACCCAUAGUUCCAAUUGGGACCUAUAUAACGAAUUGUCAAAGUAUAACUUUGCUUCUCAUUUUUAUUCUUAUACACCAAAGUUUGUGGUGACACUGAAACUUUUGAGUUCUUGGGAGCUUUUAUCUUAGCUUUAUAAGUAGCUGCACCUUGACCAACAUUUGUGACUGUCCUCCUGAAUUUCUGCUCCAACCAGGUGUAGUUUCCCUCAUUGCUGUACAAUGCAAUGAAUGAAGGGUAAUUGAGAUCAGCUGAUGGAUCUGAGCAGUUGUGAUUGGCUGAUGAUCUUGCAAUUGUCUUGAAUUGCUCUUCUGUGAAAUUCAUAGAGCAUAAGAGAUUUACGUAAUCUUGUGGAGUAGCAUCAUAUACUAGGCCGGGGUCAAGGGCUCUGUUGGGAUUGACAUGCCCUGAUCCCAUGGCUAGGGGUGUGGCUUCCCUGUUAAUGUCAGAGUCUAUGAUUGGUUUUCCAGUGUUAUCCAAAGGAUCUGCCGUGGUCAUCAUAGCAGAGCGAAUAGCUGAAGGACUCCACUCAGGAUGCGCGGCUUUUAGCAUUGCUGCGAUUCCAGCAGCAUGUGGUGCAGCCAUCGAUGUGCCUGAUUCAAGAAUGUAAUCAGAGGAUAAUUCUAUGUUCGUCCCAAUACUUGUAGCAAAUACAUUUGGUGGAUAUGCUGCAAGAAUCAGCACCCCUGGUGCCAAUAUAUCUGGCUUUGCAAUUCCCAAAUAGCUUCUGGAGGGUCCUCGUGCGGAGGAUGCAGCAACAACUGGUGCUGGCUUUGCAUCUAGAUACGUCUCUUGGAAUGUGAUGCUGGCUGUGGGAGCGACGCUAUUUUGUACAUAACUGAUCACUUGUUUCCCUUCAGUUUUGUUAAUCACAACUCCAGGAUUGGGAAAUGAAGCAGACCUGAACACUCCUGGAUCCUCAGAAAUAAAGAUGGCUGCUUUAAGUCUUGCUCGACUGACAGUGCGCAUUUGAUCAGAAAAAUCCCAGCUGUCAUCACAUAUAAUGAUGGUGUGUUCGGGAUCAGGAACUUGUGAUAGCAAUUCCUCGGAAUUGCAAUUAGAUAGAGUUUUGUUGUAAAUCACUGUUGAAUCCAUAACAAUGACUCUUGCAGGAAACAAGCUCCACCCCCUAAUUUUUAAGCCGUUUCCCAGUGUCAAAGUUCCUGCAAAUGUCCGGUCAGUGUGGCCUGAUGCCACACACAAGAUCCAUGGAGAUCCGUUCUUUAAAGUUCCAGUAUCCGGGCCUCGAUUUCCAGCUGAAGCUGAAACAAGAACUCCCUUCAUCAUAGCUCCAAAAGAAGCAAUGGAUAUAGCAUCUUCAUACAUGGGAACAAAACGGGACCCAAAUGAAAUGGACAUCAUGUCAACACCAUCCGCAACAGCUUGGUCCAUAGCUGCAAUUAAAUCUGAAGUAAAGGUACCUUCUUUGAAACUAAACUUGUAAACAGCUAGCCUAGCUCGUGGUGCAACCCCUCUAGCUGUCCCUGGUGCAUAUCCAAAAUGGGAAACACCUUUGGCAAAGUUCCCAGCAGCUAUUGAAGCUACAUGUGUACCAUGACCAUCGGUAUCCCUAGCAGAAUUCAUCGAAAUGUUCACUGUGGGAUCAUUCGCCAAAAUACCCUGAUUGAAGUAAUUAGCCCCAAUGAGUUUCUUGUUGCACAUUGAAGUGUUAAACUGAGUGCCUGGCUUGCAAAUUCCCUUCCACCUUUUCGGGAUUUCAGGCAUACCAUCAUCUUGGAAACUUACGGAUUCAGGCCAGAUGCCAGAGUCAAAAACUCCAAUAAUCACAUCUUGUCCUAAUCCAGAAGCUUGCCAUAGACCAGAUGAUGGAUUGAGUUUGAGGAAAUCAGAUGUGUGGGUAGUAUGAGGUUCCACGGUUCUAUCUUUGUAAGCUGAAAUGAAACCUGGUAAAUUCUUCAAAGCUGCUACUUCAUCUUGGGACAAAACAGCACUGAAGCCAUGAAGCACAUUGUCAUAGGAGUAAACAAGUUUUGGAGCAGAGUGGAAUCUGUCUACUGAUGAAGGAACAGAAGCUUUGAUGGAAUCAAUAGUGGAAGAAUGCCAAUGAUGGUGAUCUGGAAAGACAUUAGGCAUUAAGGUUUUGUCCAUAUGGACAAUGUAAGUGGAUCUUUGUGCUAUAGCCAACAUAUGAGCAGAAAGAAACCAUGAAAUGAAGAGAAGAUGAAUACAAUAAGGUAACACCAUUCUAGAUCUUUGUUGUGUUGACUACACACUACACCUGCUUAAGUCACCACAGAUUCAAGUGACUUUAUAGGAUUAUGCAGUUAGCAUUUGGUUGUUGCAAUAAUCAUAUUGUAUGUCAAGUGGAGAACAAACUGAGUUAAAAAAGGUAGUAAAGUAUAGUAAAAUAUAGGCGGCUAUAGUGGUAGUGAAUGAAGCAAUUAGUAUAUCUGGUUCUUCUCACUAUUUCUAAUAUUGCAAUUUGCAAACAUGACCCCACUUGUAAUCUAAUGAAGUCAAAUAUAAUCUCUUUUAAUUUAACAAAGAGAGAAGUCACUAUGAUGGGUGUUGCUUCCACUCCAUGUUACUUUUAGAUUUACUAGUUGUAACAGGUGAGAUGAUCCUUUUGUCUUCUGGAUAAAAAUAUAAUGUGGAUCACAAGAGCCAAACUUCCCCAACUUGCUGAUGAGUCAGCUACUGACACUAAAAACAUUUCUCUACUUUGGAAAAUAAAUCCAACGAGAUUAUAAAAGAGAACUUGACAGAACCACUUAGGUAGAGAAUGAUCAAAUUUUCGCCUAAUACAUAAAUGUCCUUUAACUGGACCUCAACUUACAUUAUUGCUCUCCAUUUUUAAUGUAUAUAAGUAAACACUUAUACUUGUAUAAAGUUGAACAAAUAUAUACACGCAUCCUACAUGACAAUUUGAGUCUUACAUGGUAUUCUAUUAUGCCCACGUAGGACUCAUAUGUCUACGUGUUCAACUUUAUACAAAUUUAAAUGUCGGCAUAAAUGUGAAAUGAAGCAAAGUUAAAGGACACAUUUAUGUAUUAUGCCUAAAAUCUUUUUUUUAAAAGGCAUAAUACAUAAAUGUGUCCUUUAACUUGACUUCAUUUCACAUUUGUGCCAUUCAACUUUGAAUCUGCACGUACAAGUCUACACUUUAAUUUGUAUAAAAUUGAACAAGUAAACACAUGAGUCUUGUGUGACAUAAUACACGUAGGACACAAAUUGCCAUGUAGGAUGCCAUACAAGAUGUGUGUGUUUAUUAAUUUGUUCAACUUUAUAUAAAUUUAAGUGUCUACUUGUGCACACUCAAAAUUGGAGGGCAUAAAUAUGUAAUUUAAGACCAAAUUAAAAGAUAUAUUUAUGGUUAUGCUUUUCUUAAACUAUGCAAGCAAAAGUGAUGUCCACUAUACUAUUUUGGGAUGUCCAACAAUACUUGUCCACUUUAUGAAAUCAAUGGAUAAUUUUGCACUUAGUUCCUAAUUUACCCUUAUCAUUAAUUAUAAUCAUUUUCCUAUUACAUUUUUCAAGACAUUGUAUUUAUUAUAUUCAAGGGUGAUGUAGUAAAAUUACCCUUCUAUUGAUAGUUUAUUAAGAAGUGUGCAAAGUCAAUAUUGGACAACUAUUGUUGGACAGAGGAAAUAUUAGUUGAGUGAUCAUCUACUCUGUUCGUCCCAAAAUAAGUGUCACUUUAGAUUUUCAAGACAAUUACUCGAGUAUGUUUUUUUUUAACAAUACUCUUACAUUCCAUCUUCUUAAUAAUGUUCAAUUUUCAAGAGACAUUUAUUAAAUAUGGAUAUACUCCUUCUGUCCAACAAUAGUUGUCCACUAUUGACUUGACACAAGAAUUAAAAAGUAAUAAAUGAUAGGAGUAACCCAUAUUAAAUAUGGGAAGUGCUAAAUGGCCAGAAAAUUUUGUCCAGAAAAUCAAAAAAACUAUAAUAUUUUUUUUAUUUUAAAAUAAACUGAUCUUUUGUCCAUUUUUUAGUUAAAAGGUAUUAAAGUUAAAAGGGUAAAAAUGUUUAAAAGGGUAAAAUAACAUAGAUAAAAUAUCAUUUUGGCCAAAUUUUCUGGCCAAAAAGAUUUUUCCAUUAAAUAUAGGUCAUCUAAACAUAGAAAAAUGAAUAAUAUUUAAUAGUAAGGGUAAAAUAAACAUAAAAUGGUGGAGUACAUUAUUCAUUGAUUUUAUAAACUGAACAAAUAUUGUUGGAUAUCUUAAAAUAGUAUAGUGGACAAGUAAAUAUGAACUAAAAGAGUAAUAAACUAUACAUGAUAUUUAUUAAUUUCUUACUGAAUCUAAUUUUUAUUAAGGUGAUAUUCAUUUUCGGACGAAUAAUUGUUACUAUGGUUGUAUUCAUUUUCGGAUGAAUGGAGUAGUAGUUUGAUCAAUAGAGGAAAAUAUAUAAAUUAAAAAGGCACUCUCCAACCCUUGUUCCAACAACAAAUCAAUAAUGAAAAACAAAAAGAACAAUUGUGUAAAACUGUAAAUUAUACUAGUCGAGAGUAAUUAAUUAUAAAUUCAUUAAACCCAAAAAUAAACUUGAAAAGUAAAUAAAAUCUAGCUAAAAGUAACUUCUACCGCCCUCUACGAACAAUGUAAUAUAAGAAACAAAUAUAAAAAAUUAAAAGAUUGUUCAAGUAUUAAAAAAAAUAACGAACUCCAAUUUAUUUGAGACUAAAGAGCGAAUUGUUGUAGUCGAAUUGUGCAUGCAUCUUCUUUCAUUAGGCUUGGGAGUUGUUAUCGAACUCAUUUUUAUUAUUUGCUUCACAAAUUUUGAUUUUGCGUUUCUUGAUGAUACACUUGACGACAAAAAAAACCACAAAAACCAAGACAAAAGCAACACUUAGACCUUUAAGAAAUGGAAUGAGGAGACCAUGCCAUUUAUUAGCACCCCAAUCUUUCUGAUUUUCACCUUCGUAAGUAAUAUUAGUACUAUUAUUUCCAGGAUUCGACAUAUUGAAUUAAUUUGUACUAAGGGAAGAAUAUUGUAAGAAGAGAAAAAUUAUGUUGGGAAGAUGGGUGCGCCGCAUAUGAGAGGGUUGAAGGUAAGUAGACCUUUAUUUAUACGUGUCAUCUGUCUCUUAUUCGAAGAAAAAAUAAAUAAAGGUAAGGGGAGUAGGGAGGAUUUAUUUAGUAAAUUUACUUAUUAAUGAAACAUUCUCCUUUUUUUGGUUAUAAAAGAAAAAAAAAACGUAACUUUCCUUAUUCAUAUGUUUGCCUUAAAAUUUAUUGAAAAUUUUAGGUUGAGAGAGCAAAAGGAAAGAGAGGAAAGGGAAAUAAAAAGGAACCAUAUAUAAAGUAGAAAGAAAAAACAAUAAUGCUACUAAUUUGUAAAUAGUGUAAUUUUUUGGUAAGGUCAAAUAUUAGGGUACCAAAUUCUUGGGCUAAUUAACAUAGCUAUAGUUAAAAAUAUUUAUAAUUUGCACCUAAAAUUAUCUAUUUCAAUGUGUAUUUGCUUUCUAAGAAAUACGCUAGUUGGCAAAUUUGUCAACUAGCAUAUUUCUUAGAAAUUGUAUCUAUCAGUUUCUUCGGUUUUUCUUUUCUCUCUCCAAAUUAGUAUAACCCCAAAUUCAACAAUGUCGUGCUUUCUCUCUCUUGCUUCGACAAAGCUUCGUCAUGAAUGACUCAUGGGAAACUAUGAGAGAAAGCUUUGGAGCUUAAGUAUAUUUGCCCAAAUUAUUCUUUUUGUAUCAAUGUCUUUUAGUGUAUCUGCAACUAGUUAUAAAAUUGUAUCAAUGUACUCAAGUGUAUUAAUUUCUUGUUAAACAUUGUAUCUUGCAUUUGAAUAUAUAUGUUCAUUGUCGUACAUUUGUAUCAAAUCAUAUGUUCAUAUUUGUAUCAAAAUUCCGUUGAUUAUGGAAGAUAGCGAUAUCAGUUGAAUGUGAUUAUGCAAAUUUUCUUUUAAAAAAAAAAAGAACUUGUAACGCAAUUCACAUAUGUUAUUAAGGGUUGUAUUUGUAUUCAGAGCCAAUUUUUGCGAAUAAAUACAUUUGAUAGCAAGUUAUAAUAUAGCUAUAAAUUGUAAUUAACAAAAGAAUAGUUAAGAAGGCCUAUAGUUAGUUAUUUUUGAAAUUUUUCUCAAACAAAAAAUGUAGGCAAAUUGCUAUCAAGCAAUGUUGAAAUGACUCAUUAACACACAGACUUGAGAGAAGAGUCUUUCAUCAGAUUUACUUUUUCUUCUUCUUUUCAAUUUUUUUUACGUUUGUUUUUAGACGUUCAACCAAGUUUUUCCUUUAUUGAUAGCUUAACAUCUCUUUCUAUGAAAUUUUUUUUUGCACUAAAUUGAUAUUUUUGAUACCUAAGUUAGUGGUUUGAUGGGAGGAAAAUUGUUUAAAAAUAAUUAAGCAAAUAAAAUUAUUUUCUUAUUUCUAAUUAUUUAUGAUGAUCACACACUUAAAUAUAACAAUAAAUGUGCACAACAUGCACGUGAGGUUUUUGUUAAAGAAAAAUUAAAUCCAUCACCAAUAAAAAAUUUUAAAAAAAACAGAGAGAACAUCCACAUGUUUGACUCAUAAAAAAAAUCAAUUCAACCCAUAUAUGUAAGAACUUAAAUUUUUAAUUAAGAUGAUCAUACACUAUCAAUUUUAAAAAGCAUAAAUAAAUGAGUUAACUUGAAGUAGAAAAAUAAAACACCACUACCAAUAAUUUCUCUCACUCUUUUGACAAGAAUUUGUCAAUAACUACAUACCAAAGCUAUAUAUCGGCGUCGAGAUACUAGUAAUGUAAUAAAAGAAACAAAAACAUUGUCAAACUAUUUUUUUUCUUCCCCCUUCUACACUUUAGACGUAGCCUCAUCAUCACUAUCCUCUUUUGAUUCAUCAUCACUAUGAUUUGCCUCAUUAAUUUUGGAGGAAUUUCUUCUUCUAAAUCUGCAGAUGAUUUUACAAAGCAGGCAUAACACAACGACCCCUACAACACCCCAAAGGGCUUUGUUUGGAAUUUGCCAACCAUCAUCAUUGUUCAAUUUUGUGUUAUUUCCUGCAGGACUUAUAGCACUUGUUUGAAAAGACAUAUUCGAAAUUCAACUAGAAAAAAAAGACAAAAUUUAUUUUGUGUGAAGAUGGUAGGGGUCUAUUAAUAUUUUAUAACCCAAAGUUUUCCGUAUUCAUAAAAAAACAACAUAUAUACAUGACUAGUUGUGAUUCGAGGAAAAAAAAUAUAGAGAGAAAAGAGUAACUUUCCUUAUUCAUAUGCAUGCCUUGAGAUUUAUACAUGGAAAUUAGGUGCAAGGUGCCUUUAAAAGUGGAAAAGAUGAACUAUAUAAAAUUUUUUUUGGUUAAACGUUACUUUUCUAUUUUUAUUGGAGUGGUCAAUGUUAUGGUGCCGAGGUAAAAGAGGGAAUCGGGUAAUUUCAAUUGAAAUUGAGUAAUUUUGGUUGAUUUGGGGGAAAUCAUUCAAUUGAGGGGUAUAUUUGUUAUGUUUGGGGAAGACGGGUAUAUUUAGAGUCCUGUAGUAUAAUGAAGGACAAACUUAACUAAUAAAUUUAAAUAAUAGAAGGGUAAUUUUUACCUUUUCCCUUACAAUAACUAUGUUAAGCUUGUGGAAUUCAGUCACUCAAUUGGUUGGCUACCUAAACUUACACCUUAUUGGUGAGAUUCGAUUCUCUACAUUGUAAUCUCCUCCCGUUUUCCCUUCCCUACCCCGAAUAUUUUAUUUAAAAAAAAAAAACUAUGUUAAGCUUAAUCUUGAAACACAGACUGGGAACAUGAAAAUGGUGACGACAUUUUUGGGAUUUCACUGAUCUCAAACAUAAUAGAGACAUAGGGGAAAAAUCCAUCGGGAUUAUACUUACCGGUGUAUGUGUGUGAAACUGUGAAUGAUACAAUCAAUAUAAAAUGUCAAACACAAUAGAGACAUACCGGGAAAAAUCCAUUAGAAUAAAAUAACUUGUUGAAGUGCGCGAAUGAUACAAUCAAUAUGAAAUGUCACUUGUAGAAUCUGUUUUAUAUUUCUAUUUAAAACAAUUGUUUUUCUAAAAAAAUAUUUUUCAAAAGUUUUACUAGAACAUGAGAAAAUUGAAAAACAUUUCAAAACACUCUUAAUUAGUCUCAUAGAACUAUAGGACAUUAGAUAGCAUAACAUAUUCAAUUAGAGCACCAAUAACACAGGGUAAAAUAUUAUAUUACUAAUAGAGAAAUACAAAAUAUAUGUAAAAAAGAAAAUCAUAGGUGCAUCGUCGUGCAUUUGUUUGCUUAGUACAUCAUUGUCCUUGCACUGCAAUGUAAAAAUAAGGAAAACUAACAAUAAUUCCACUUUGCUUUCACAUCAUUCAGUUUUUUUAAUCUAGCAAUGCGAAUAUACUCUACUAUAUAUACAUGAAAAAUAAAUUACUCUAUGUGAGUAGUAAUACUAUUCAACAGAUUCGGAGGCACACGAAAGAUAAAUCCAAAUGACGACCAUUGCAAGAGGAAAAACAAGGAGGACGAAGAGAGAAGGUGGCUGAAUCGAACCGAUAAACAAUGGUAGAAAUAAAAGACAAAUCACCACGACUAACAUCAUCAACAUUGAACCAACUCCCCAUUGACAUUGCUCCAUUUCUUGUGCCAUUUUUUUUUCUUUUAAUUCUUUUGUUACUUUCAGAAAAUGUAAGAUAUAUGAAGAAUACUAGUAUAAUACUUAUAUGAGUAAUAGUCCCUUUAUAUAUGUAGUUUUCGAUAGUCAUGUUGUUUCACCAAAGGACGUGACGAUUAGUUUUAAAUUAUUACAUGCGGCUUAAUUUUUCAUUUUCACACUUUGUUUUGAAUAAAGUGAAAAAAGGAAAAUUUUGUAAAACAAAUGUAGGAGAAAUAUUAACCUUUUUCUUAAACAAGAGGGAAAUUAUAAAUCAUAUAUAAUUAAUGCUUUAUUAUGUAUACAUAUGGAUAAUUAAUAAGGGCAAUCAUCUGAUAAGGAUAAUGAUUAAACAAAAUACCAUAUAUUAAUAACUAACCUCUAUUAAAUAAUAUUUUAACUUUUUAAUUUAGUAGUACUAGUGCCAAAGUGUAUAUAAAUGAAAUUCUGUUUAUGUUUUACUCUUAAAUAUAGUUGAUGUGAUUAUUAGCUUACCAAUAGUUAAGUAACAUUUCACAUUUAAAUGAAUUUUUGGCACUUUUUUCAUUGUUCAAAGUUUAAGAUGGAUAUUUGAUUAUUUUUUUCCAUAUUUACCCUUUCCUUUAAUGAAUUUUAAUAUUUUCUAGGGGAUAAAUUGCAGUACUUACAAAAUUAUGUUUAUGAUUUCACAAAAGAUAAUAGUGGAAAUUAUGAUUUGAAUUCUAUCAUUGAAUGUUUUUCUUAAUAAGUAUACAUCACCUCACAAAUUCAGUUAAUAUGGAAUAGAUAUAUUCAAAUAAUUAUUCAAUCUUGGGUGUUUUAGGCGCGAAGUUGUUCCUAUUUAUUUCUAGCACAACAACUUUACAUUUAGCAUAUAUUAGUACUAUAUAAUUGGGAAAGGGGUCUGAAAAAUACUCUAACUUUGGCUGAAAUUAUUGUUAUGAUACCAAACUUUAUGGAAGAUCUUUUACCUCUGCACUAUUUAAUAAUGUAUUUUAAAGGUAUAUAUGUGCCCACAUGGACACGUUACUAUUUAUAAUGAUGCAAUAUUUAUAAUGUCCACGUGGGCACAUAUAUACCUUUAAAAUAUAGUAUUAAAUAGUGCAGGGGUAAAAUGUCUUUUACAAAGUUCGGUAUUGUUACAACAAUUUCUGUCAAAGUUCGGAUAUAUUUCAGAUUUUUUUCCUUAUAUAAUGUGUUUCUUAUUUCCCCCUUAGUCUUCGCUACCCCAGACCUCAAUAAUGGUAGAUGUCACUAUAGGACUCCGAACAGUGUGGUUGCCAUUUUGUUCAAUCCAAGUGAUCGACCCAAAGUUUCUACUCUGAUCACUAUCACCUAUAUAUCGAAUUGUCAAAUUAUAACUUUGCUUAUCAUUUUUCUCCUUGAACACUAGAGUUCGUGGAGACACUGAAACUGUGGAAUUCUUCGGAGUUUCUAUCUUCACUUUAUAAGUUGCUCCACCUUUACCAACAUUUGUAAGGGUCCUCCUGAAUUUCUGCUCCAACCAGGUGAAGUUCCCCUCCAGGCUGAACGGGUACAAGGCGAUGAAUGAUGGGUAGUUGAGAUCAGCUGAUGGAUUUGAGCAGUUGUCGUAAUUGGCUGAUGAUCUUGCAAAUGUUUUGAAUUGCUCUUCUGUGAAAUUCAAAGAGCAUAUAAGAUUUAUGUAAUCUUGUGGAGUAGCCUCAUAUACUAGGCCGGGAUCAAGAGCUCUGUUCGGGUCAACGUGACCUGCUCCCAUGUCUAGUGGCGUCGCAAUCAUGUUAUCAUCCUCUCUAAUAGGCUUUUG